ACUAAAUGAAUAAGUGACAGCUAACUAUGUGCCAGCAGCUGCGGUAAAACAUAGGUCACGAGCAUUACUCCGGAUUUAUUGGGCGUAAAGGAAGCGUAGGCGGACAAAUUGAUCUAUUGUUAAAGGCACUUGCUCAACGAGUUGUUUGUGAUAGAUAUCGUUUGUCUAGAAUUAGUUAGGAGAUACUGGAAUUCAAUGUGUAGCGGUGGAAUGCGUAGAUAUAUUGAGGAACACCAGAGGCUAAGGCGAGUAUCUAGGACAUAAUUGACGCUGAGGCUUGAAAGCGUGGGGAGCAAAUGGGA
Molecule: ribosomal RNA, 302 nt
Filed under: Candidatus Mycoplasma haematominutum
Lineage: Bacteria; Bacillati; Mycoplasmatota; Mollicutes; Mycoplasmatales; Mycoplasmataceae
Description: bacterial SSU rRNA
Rfam family: Bacterial small subunit ribosomal RNA
Source: RNAcentral